RNAcentral lists this ribosomal RNA (429 nucleotides) under Gemmatimonadota bacterium. RNAcentral describes it as "Gemmatimonadetes bacterium partial 16S ribosomal RNA". It matches the Rfam family "Bacterial small subunit ribosomal RNA", at positions 355 to 776 of the family's 1533-position model. The record is from RNAcentral. Lineage: Bacteria; Pseudomonadati; Gemmatimonadota.
UAGGGAAUCUUCGGCAAUGGACGAAAGUCUGACCGAGCAACGCCGCGUGAGUGAAGAAGGUUUUCGGAUCGUAAAACUCUGUUGUUAGAGAAGAACAAGGACGUUAGUAACUGAACGUCCCCUGACGGUAUCUAACCAGAAAGCCACGGCUAACUACGUGCCAGCAGCCGCGGUAAUACGUAGGUGGCAAGCGUUGUCCGGAUCUAUUGUGCGUAAAGCGAGCGCAGGCGGUUUCUUAAGUCUGAUGUGAAAGCCCCCGGCUCAACCGGGGAGGGUCAUUGGAAACUGGGAGAGUGGGGUGCAGAGGAGGAGAGUGGAAUUCCAGGUGUAGCGGAGAAAUGCGUAGAUAUAUGGAGGAACACCAGUGGCGAAGGCGGCUCUCUGGACUGUAACUGACGUUGUGGCCCGAAAGCGUGGGGAGCAAAGAGG